GUCGAGCGGUAAGGCCCUUCGGGGUACACGAGCGGCGAACGGGUGAGUAACACGUGGGUGAUCUGCCCUGCAUUUCGGGAUAAGCCUGGGAAACUGGGUCUAAUCCCGGAUAGGACCUCUUCCCGCAUGGUGGGGGGUGGAAAGGUUUACUGGUGCAGGAUGGGCCCGCGGCCUAUCAGCUUGUUGGUGGGGUAAUGGCCUACCAAGGCGACGACGGGUAGCCGACCUGAGAGGGUGACCGGCCACACUGGGACUGAGACACGGCCCAGACUCCUACGGGAGGCAGCAGUGGGGAAUAUUGCACAAUGGGCGAAAGCCUGAUGCAGCGACGCCGCGUGAGGGAUGACGGCCUUCGGGUUGUAAACCUCUUUCAGCGCCGACGAAGCGUAAGUGACGGUAGGCGCAGAAGAAGCACCGGCCAACUACGUGCCAGCAGCCGCGGUAAUACGUAGGGUGCAAGCGUUGUCCGGAAUUACUGGGCGUAAAGAGCUCGUAGGCGGUUUGUCGCGUCGUCUGUGAAAACUCGUAGCUCAACUACGGGCGUGCAGGCGAUACGGGCAGACUCGAGAGCUGCAGGGGAGACUGGAAUUCCUGGUGUA
RNAcentral lists this ribosomal RNA (599 nucleotides) under Rhodococcus sp. SpC090624G1_04. Its description in RNAcentral is "bacterial SSU rRNA". It matches the Rfam family "Bacterial small subunit ribosomal RNA", at positions 61 to 677 of the family's 1533-position model. Lineage: Bacteria; Bacillati; Actinomycetota; Actinomycetes; Mycobacteriales; Nocardiaceae. The record is from RNAcentral.